UACGUAGGGUGCGAGCGUUGUCCGGAUUUAUUGGGCGUAAAGAGCUCGUAGGCGGUCUGUCGCGUCGAAUGUGAAAGCCCAGGGCUCAACUCUGGGUCUGCAUUCGAUACGGGCAGACUAGAGUAUGGCAGGGGAGACUGGAAUUCCUGGUGUAGCGGUGAAAUGCGCAGAUAUCAGGAGGAACACCGGUGGCGAAGGCGGGUCUCUGGGCCAAAACUGACGCUGAGGAGCGAAAGCGUGGGGAGCGAGCAGG
Molecule: ribosomal RNA, 253 nt
Filed under: uncultured bacterium
Lineage: Bacteria
Description: partial 16S ribosomal RNA
Rfam family: Bacterial small subunit ribosomal RNA
Source: RNAcentral